This 91-nucleotide small nucleolar RNA is filed under the name Rosa chinensis. RNAcentral's name for it is "sRNA RchiOBHm_Chr5g0064131". It matches the Rfam family "Small nucleolar RNA snoR26". Lineage: Eukaryota; Viridiplantae; Streptophyta; Magnoliopsida; Rosales; Rosaceae. The record is from Rfam by way of RNAcentral.
CAAGCAUCGGUGAUGAUUUUCUUUAAUUCGUUAUCCUUGCACUAUGAUUGCCCGUAAAGAAAACUAUGGGGAAUUUGAAUCUGUGAUGCUA